UACGAAGGGGGCUAGCGUUGUUCGGAAUCACUGGGCGUAAAGAGUGCGUAGGCGGGUCUUUAAGUCAGGGGUGAAAUCCUGGAGCUCAACUCCAGAACUGCCUUUGAUACUGAGGAUCUUGAGGUCGGGAGAGGUGAGUGGAACUGCGAGUGUAGAGGUGAAAUUCGUAGAUAUUCGCAAGAACACCAGUGGCGAAGGCGGCUCACUGGCCCGAUACUGACGCUGAGGCACGAAAGCGUGGGGAGCAAACAGG
Molecule: ribosomal RNA, 253 nt
Filed under: uncultured bacterium
Lineage: Bacteria
Description: partial 16S ribosomal RNA
Rfam family: Bacterial small subunit ribosomal RNA
Source: RNAcentral